This 2171-nucleotide ribosomal RNA is filed under the name Eugerdella sp. RNAcentral describes it as "SSU rRNA". It matches the Rfam family "Eukaryotic small subunit ribosomal RNA". Lineage: Eukaryota; Metazoa; Arthropoda; Malacostraca; Isopoda; Desmosomatidae. The record is from RNAcentral.
CAUAUGCUUGUCUCAAAGAUUAAGCCAUGCAUGUCUGAGUACAGACCGAUCUAAGGUGAAACCGCGAAUGGCUCAUUAAAUCAGUCAUAAUUCCUUGGAUAGUGAUAAACUUUCCUCGGAUAACUGUGGAAAAUCCAGAGCUAAUACGUGCAACAGAGCUCCGACCUAGACUUAACGGUCCUGGGAAGAGCGCAUUUAUUAGUUUCAAAACUGACCGGCGUACUCCUUCGGGAUACGUCGUUCGUCAAAUGUUUGAUGACUCCGGAUAACUUAGCCGAGCGCUACGGUCUUUAGUACCGGCGCCGUAUCUUUCAAGUGACUGCCUUAUCAGCUUUCGAUUGUAGGUUAAACGCCUACAAUGGCUGUAACGGGUAACGGGGAAUCAGGGUUCGAUUCCGGAGAGGGAGCCUGAGAAACGGCUACCACAUCUAAGGAAGGCAGCAGGCACGCAAAUUACCCACUCCCAGCUCGGGGAGGUAGUGACGAUAAAUAACGAUGCGAGACUCUUCCGAGGCCUCGCAAUCGGAAUGAGUCCAUUUUAAAUCCNUGGACGAGGAUCCAUUGGAGGGCAAGUCUGGUGCCAGCAGCCGCGGUAAUUCCAGCUCCAAUAGCGUAUAUUAAAGUUGCUGCGGUUAAAAAGCUCGUAGUUGGACUUUCUAGAUCCAUUUCGUGGACGAGUCGCUCUUUGUACUGGCGUCUCGCGCGGUUCCUUGACACAAGGCGUCGAGUGGGUGUGUGUGUGUGUGUUUCUCUCUUCGUGUUCGACUGAGGCCGUCUCGGAGGGGAUCUACUACACUACACCUCUCUCGCGUUACUGAGUUAAGUGGGCGGUGAGUCGUUGUCUUAGGGUAUAGCUCGUCCGCGUUUGGUACAAUUAAAAUUUUGUCGGCUCGCUCGGAGUGCUCUUUACCGAGUGUUCCAGGGUGGCUGACACGUUCACUUUGAAAAAAUUAGAGUGCUUAAAGCGGGCUCGUAUACGGCCUGAAUGUCUGUGCAUGGAAUGAAGUAACAGGACCUCGAUUCUGUUGUUUUUGUCGGUUUUAAUGAACCGAGGUAAUGAUUAAAAGGGACAGACGGUGGCAUUAGUAUUGCGACGCUAGAGGUGAAAUUCUUGGACCGUCGCAAGACUAACUACUGCGAAAGCAUUUGCCGAGAAUGUUUUCAUUAAUCAAGAACGAAAGUUAGAGGAUCGAAGGCGAUCAGAUACCGCCCUAGUUCUAACCCUAAACUAUGCUAACUAGCGAUCCGCCGGAGUCAUUCCCACGACCCGGCGGGAAGCCCCAGGGAAACCAAAGUCUUUGAGUUCCGGGGGAAGUAUGGUUGCAAAGCUGAAACUUAAAGGAAUUGACGGAAGGGCACCACCAGGAGUGGAGCCUGCGGCUUAAUUUGACUCAACACGGGAAACCUCACCAGGCCCGGACAUCAUAAGGAUUGACAGGUUGAGAGCUCUUUCUCGAUUUGAUGGGUGGUGGUGCAUGGCCGUUCUUAGUUGGUGGAGUGAUCUGUCUGGUUGAUUCCGAUAACGAACGAGACUCUGCCCUACUAACUAGUCGGCGGAUCGUAACCCUGAGCCGGUUUUAGUUUGUAAGAGGAGAGAUUUGCUGAAAGCGGAGUUCUACCGGACGAUAGGUCACACGGCGCAUCCGCUCGUAUGCUAUCUUUAGCGAAGAGUUUGUGGUGCUAACCGUUGAUUUCUAAAGGUCGGUGUGCUUCGUCUCUAAGCGGCUUUCCAAUUACGAUUGCUACUACUGCUGGGGGCGUCCGUCGCAAUGUAUCUUCUUAGAGGGAUCAGCGGCGUAUAGCCGCACGAGAAAGAGCAAUAACAGGUCUGUGAUGCCCUUAGAUGUUCUGGGCCGCACGCGCGCUACAAUGUAGGGUUCAGCGUGCAUUCCCUCUCCGAAAGGAGCGGGCAACCCGUUGAAACCCCUACCCGAUUGGGAUUGGGGCUUGUAAUUAUUUCCCAUGAACGAGGAAUUCCCAGUAAGCGCGAGUCACUAGCUCGCGUUGAUUACGUCCCUGCCCUUUGUACACACCGCCCGUCGCUACUACCGAUUGAAUGAUUCAGUGAGGGCAUCGGACUGGCCCUUCGGUUUAGUUAUCUAGACCUUAGGCUGACGGAAAGAUGUCCGAACUUGAUCAUUUAGAGGAAGUAAAAGUCGUAACAAGGUUUC